Molecule: ribosomal RNA, 482 nt
Filed under: uncultured bacterium
Lineage: Bacteria
Description: partial 16S ribosomal RNA
Rfam family: Bacterial small subunit ribosomal RNA
Source: RNAcentral
AUUGAACGCUGGCGGCAUGCUUUACACAUGCAAGUCGAACGGUAACAGGCCGCAAGGUGCUGACGAGUGGCGAACGGGUGAGUAAUGCAUCGGAACGUGCCCAGUCGUGGGGGAUAACUACUCUAAAGAGUAGCUAAUACCGCAUACGAUCUAUGGAUGACAGCGGGGGACCGUAAGGCCUCGCGCGAUUGGAGCGGCCGAUGUCAGAUUAGGUAGUUGGUGGGGUAAAGGCUCACCAAGCCAACGAUCUGUAGCUGGUCUGAGAGGACGACCAGCCACACUGGGACUGAGACACGGACCAGACUCCUACGGGAGGCAGCAGUGGGGAAUUUUGGACAAUGGGCGCAAGCCUGAUCCAGCAAUGCCGCGUGCAGGAAGAAGGCCUUCGGGUUGUAAACUGCUUUUGUACGGAACGAAACGGCUCUGGUUAAUACCCGGGGCUAAUGACGGUACCGUAAGAAUAAGCACCGGCUAACUACGUG